This 1360-nucleotide long non-coding RNA is filed under the name Phoenix dactylifera (date palm). Its description in RNAcentral is "long non-coding RNA (PDAC_LNC014746)". The record is from RNAcentral. Lineage: Eukaryota; Viridiplantae; Streptophyta; Magnoliopsida; Arecales; Arecaceae.
UUUUUUUUUUCAAGCAAUGGCAAUGGAGGCUAGGGUUCUUUGUGGUGGAAGGAAGGAGGAAGAAGAUGGGUUGCUGGUUGGUGAGAUUGGGUUCAAGGAGGGUCAGCCAAUGGACCAAAAUUAGGCACCAAUUUUGUGGGGGCUGAAAUUGGCUAGACCAAUUUUUUUAGGCUGAAUUGGGUUGUGUGGAGUCCUAAUGGCAAUAGGACUUAGAGGAGGACGUGGGAAAGGAGUCUUGGGCGUGAGGGAGGUGCUGAAAUGCUGAUGUGGCACUCAAGGAGGGUGCACACAAGGGGUGGAGGCGUGAGAACAAAAGAAGGGAUAAGGAUAAACUUGAGUUUGUUAGGGAAAUCUCAUCCAAAACCAACCCAAUUUCAAAUGGCGUGAAGGGGAGGCGUCCCACCUUCCCUCAGCCCCUUUGGCAUCGCACCAGCAAGAGGAGUAGCCUCUCUUCAUAAUUUCGAAAUCCAAAACUAACUUCAUUCAUCAUACCCUUCUUUAUAUAGAAAGAAAGGUUGGCACAGAAUUUUAAAUUGGACUCCUAAUUACAUGAGGACUCAAUUCAAAAUUUAAAUUUUCUAAUUGACCAAUCAAAGGCCUUGACACCUAAGCCUAGACACCUAGGAAUCCAUUCCUUAUGGCGUGUGGAUUGAAACCCAUCAAAAGAAAUUCAGCCGCAUGCCACGAGUUGGAAUCUAGGUGGAACUCCUUCUCGGGUACCAACAUCAGCAUGAAGUUCGGGAGACUCCUCAAAUUUCAUCUGAUCUCCAAAUUUCAUGUUCUUAUAGUCAUUGGAAAGCUACGGAUGUCUACUUUCCAACAAAAUUUGAAUCAACUUAAUCAGACUUCUGUAGCUUCCAAAAUCUUCAAAAUACCAUAUGGUGUUCAAUCUGUCACGGAUUUCAACUGGAUUCUGAGCUCUGAAUUUCUUCCACAUGUGAGAGAUCUUCAUGGUUGAACUUCUCCACGUGAUGAGUGAUGAUCUUCACGGCAUUAGGAAUCCUUCUUAAUGGCACUCAAUUAUAAGGACUCAAUCUUAAACACAUGGACUCAAUCCUCUCACAUAAGGACUCAAUUUCACUCAUACGACUAAACUAAAUUCUCCACACAUGACCCAAUAUGACUUGACUCAAUCCUUGCAUAACAUGGACUCUUUUGAUGCCACUUGGCAUUCAAUUACAAACAUAAAUCAGCAAAUUGCAAAUCCAAAAUAAGAACUCAAAUAAACCCAAAAUAAAAGGACUCAAUGUGACCAAAAUAAAAUAGACUCAAUCCAAUUAAAUGCUAGAAAUUACGAACCCAAUGUGUUUUCGGGCACUCCCAAGCAAGAAUCCAAACUCGACGUACAUCCAUUAUGAUU